CGUGAUUGGGCUAUAUUACGGACACCAAAUUACUGUUCNAUCAUUGUUUAGAAUUUUUUCAUGCUUCAAAGCUCGUUAAGACUAGAUGGGGUAUCUACAUAGCGGGUGCGACCCACCACGAAAUGGUUCAUCAAGUCUUCAAAAAAGNAUAUAUACGAAUUGCAAUUGCAUAUACUACGUAUGCGAUCAUACCAGCACUNAUACACGAGAUCCCAUCAGAACUCCGCAGUUAAGCGUGCUUGGGCGGAUAUUGUACUAGGAUGGGUGACCUCCCGGGAAAGUCCUCGUGUUGCAUCCCUCUUUUUUUUUAAUUUGUUUUUUUUGGUUAAAACUUUAUGACUCUAUAACUUUUAUACCGUGAGGCCAAANUAGGCAUGUGAUACCUUUUCGGGNNAUCCCAAAGAGAACCCAUCACAGACGGAGAGAUACAGGACCCAAACGAAACUUUUCCUUUGAACUU
Molecule: ribosomal RNA, 460 nt
Filed under: Arabidopsis thaliana (thale cress)
Lineage: Eukaryota; Viridiplantae; Streptophyta; Magnoliopsida; Brassicales; Brassicaceae
Source: RNAcentral